Molecule: ribosomal RNA, 503 nt
Filed under: uncultured bacterium
Lineage: Bacteria
Description: partial 16S ribosomal RNA
Rfam family: Bacterial small subunit ribosomal RNA
Source: RNAcentral
AACGAACGCUGGCGGCGUGUUUAAGACAUGCAAGUCGCACGGGAUAAGACAUGUAGUAAUACUUGUUUUAUUUAGUGGCGCACGGGUGAGUAACACGUGAAUUACAUGCCCUAUAGUGGGGAAUAGCCCAGGGAAACUUGGAUUAAUACCCCAUGGUAUCGAAAGAUUAAAGGUGGCCGCAAGGCUGUCGCUAUAGGAUUGGUUCGCGCCCUAUCAGCUUGUUGGUGAGGUAACGGAUCACCAAGGCAAUGACGGGUACCUGGUCUGAGAGGACGAUCAGGCACACUGGAACUGAGACACGGUCCAGACACCUACGGGUGGCAGCAGUCGAGAAUAAUUCACAAUGGGGGCAACCCUGAUGGUGCAACGCCGCGUGGAGGAUGACGGUCUUCGGAUUGUAGACUCCUGUCAUCUGGGAGAAAGACCUGACGGUAAAUAGCCGGCAGGGUUGAUAGUACCAGAAGAGGAAGGGACGGCUAACUUCGUGCCAGCCGCCGCGGUAA